GGACUGUAAAGGAUGCAGGGACCGAGCUGCGGGCUGCCGGGCACGGCAUUCCCGAGCCGCUGGGGCCACCUAGAGGGGGGAUGCGUCCCCUACAUGGAGCCUCCCGUCCCCGAGCCCCCCGAGCUCACUGUUGUGCAGCCAGCUGGUGAAGUGCUCCACAGCCUUCCUGAAUCCAAGGGAGAUUGCUGCAGCUUUGGAAGGAGCCACCACUCCAGGACCUGUCUGCGAGGCUGGGAGCUGGGAUGUGGAGACUGUUCUUGAGUCUCAGAUGGCCACGACCCACCUGAAGCUGCUGUCUGCCCCUUCUCCAGGACUGACAUCAGGACAACUGCGAGGGAAUCACUGCCCCAAGAUGAGUAUUCUAACUCUUAUUACUUGGAGAGGCGUUGCUUCUUUAAACUUAGCCUUCAACUUCAUUGUAAAGAUGAACCAAGAUGCUAAAUUCAUUCACUAGGUAAUGAAGACUAAAACCUGUCUAUACCAGAUUAAAAAGGCACUUGUGUUAAUCCUUGGAGGGCUGCACCACGUGUCACCAGGCUUUGAAUUCAGCUCCCCGGUGCUUUCUAUGGCACAAACGCCUGCAAAUGCUGCUAGCCUGGAAAGCGACUGCAGGCCAGCUGGGUUUUUUUGGCUAUUGGUCAAAUAUCUGUU
Long non-coding RNA from Coturnix japonica (Japanese quail), 651 nucleotides. RefSeq lists it as uncharacterized. NCBI's taxonomy places the organism in Eukaryota, Metazoa, Chordata, Aves, Galliformes, Phasianidae. The record is from RefSeq and is a predicted model, not a curated record.